This 484-nucleotide ribosomal RNA is filed under the name uncultured bacterium. Its description in RNAcentral is "bacterial SSU rRNA". It matches the Rfam family "Bacterial small subunit ribosomal RNA", at positions 15 to 518 of the family's 1533-position model. The record is from RNAcentral.
GAUCCUGGCUUAGGAUUAACGCUGGCGGCAUGCCUAAUACAUGCAAGUCGAAUGGAAGAGCUUGCUUUCCAUGGCGAACGGGUGAGUAACACGUAGGUAACCUACCUUAAGGACGAGGAUAACCUUUGGAAACGAAGGAUAAUACUGGAUAGGACAUCAUAAAACACAUGUUUAGAUGUUUAAAGGAGCAAUCCACCAUAAGAGGGGCCUGCGGCGCAUUAGCUAGUUGGUGAGAUAAAGGCCCACCAAGGCGAUGAUGCGUAGCCGGACUGAGAGGUUGAACGGCCACAAUGGGACUGAGAACGGCCCAUACUCCUACGGGAGGCAGCAGUAGGGAAUUUUCGGCAAUGGACAAAAGUCUGACCGAGCAAUGCCGCGUGAUCGAAGAAGUAUUUCGGUAUGUAAAGAUCUUUUAUCAGGGAAGAAAAGACAGAUUGACUGAACCUGAUGAAUAAGCUCCGGCUAACUACGUGCCAGCCGCCGC